Molecule: transfer RNA, 83 nt
Filed under: Candidatus Omnitrophota bacterium
Lineage: Bacteria; Pseudomonadati; Candidatus Omnitrophota
Description: tRNA-Leu
Rfam family: tRNA
About the family: Transfer RNA (tRNA) molecules are approximately 80 nucleotides in length. Their secondary structure includes four short double-helical elements and three loops (D, anti-codon, and T loops). Further hydrogen bonds mediate the characteristic L-shaped molecular structure. tRNAs have two regions of fundamental functional importance: the anti-codon, which is responsible for specific mRNA codon recognition, and the 3' end, to which the tRNAs corresponding amino acid is attached (by aminoacyl-tRNA synthetases). tRNAs cope with the degeneracy of the genetic code in two manners: having more than one tRNA (with a specific anti-codon) for a particular amino acid; and 'wobble' base-pairing, i.e. permitting non-standard base-pairing at the 3rd anti-codon position.
Source: RNAcentral
GCCGAGGUGUUGAAAUGGCAGACAAAGCGGACUUAAAAUCCGCCGCCCGUAAGGGCGUGAGGGUUCGACUCCCUCCCUCGGCA